Molecule: ribosomal RNA, 305 nt
Filed under: uncultured bacterium
Lineage: Bacteria
Description: bacterial SSU rRNA
Rfam family: Bacterial small subunit ribosomal RNA
Source: RNAcentral
UCCUACGGGGCGCAGCAGUGAGGAAUAUUGGUCAAUGGACGCAAGUCUGAACCAGCCAUGCCGCGUGCAGGAUGACGGCUCUAUGAGUUGUAAACUGCUUUUGUACGAGGGUAAACCCCGAUACGUGUAUCUGUCUGAAAGUAUCGUACGAAUAAGGAUCGGCUAACUCCGUGCCAGCAGCCGCGGUAAUACGGAGGAUUCAAGCGUUAUCCGGAUUUAUUGGGUUUAAAGGGUGCGUAGGCGGAAUAUCAAGUCAGCGGUAAAAAUUCGGGGCUCAACCCCGUCGUGCCGUUGAAACUGAUGUU